This 182-nucleotide ribosomal RNA is filed under the name Leptosphaeria sclerotioides. Its description in RNAcentral is "partial 28S ribosomal RNA". Lineage: Eukaryota; Fungi; Ascomycota; Dothideomycetes; Pleosporales; Leptosphaeriaceae. The record is from RNAcentral.
GCCCCCAUCAAGUCCAUAUAUUUGCUCUUGACCUCGGAUCAGGUAGGGAUACCCGCUGAACUUAAGCAUAUCAAUAAGCCGGAGGAAGAACUUACCAUUACCUCAACUGGCGGGUUUUCAGCGGUGCUUUUGUGCCACUGAUGCCACUGUUUGAGUUCCCAUGCUUUUUGCGUACAAUUGUU